Molecule: ribosomal RNA, 496 nt
Filed under: uncultured bacterium
Lineage: Bacteria
Description: partial 16S ribosomal RNA
Rfam family: Bacterial small subunit ribosomal RNA
Source: RNAcentral
AUGAACGCUGGCGGCGUGCCUAAUACAUGCAAGUCGAGCGAACGGACGAGAAGCUUGCUUCUCUGAUGUUAGCGGCGGACGGGUGAGUAACACGUGGAUAACCUACCUAUAAGACUGGGAUAACUUCGGGAAACCGUAGCUAAUACCGGAUAAUAUUUUGAACCGCAUGGUUCAAAAGUGAAAGACGGUCUUGCUGUCACUUAUAGAUGGAUCCGUGCUGCAUUAGCUAGUUGGUAAGGUAACGGCUUACCAAGGCAACGAUGCAUAGCCGACCUGAGAGGGUGAUCGGCCACACUGGAACUGAGACACGGUCCAGACUCCUACGGGAGGCAGCAGUAGGGAAUCUUCCGCAAUGGGCGAAAGCCUGACGGAGCAACGCCGCGUGAGUGAUGAAGGUCUUCGGAUCGUAAAACUCUGUUAUUAGGGAAGAACAUAUGUGUAAGUAACUGUGCACAUCUUGACGGUACCUAAUCAGAAAGCCACGGCUAACUACGUG